UACGUAGGGGGCAAGCGUUGUCCGGAAUCAUUGGGCGUAAAGAGCGUGUAGGCGGCCCGGUAAGUCCGCUGUAAAAGUCAAAGGCUCAACCUUUGAAUGUCAGUGGAUACUGCCAGGCUAGAGUCCGGAAGAGGCGAGUGGAACUCCUGGUGUAGCGGUGGAAUGCGCAGAUAUCAGGAAGAACACCAACGGCGAAGGCAGCUCGCUAGGACGGUACUGACGCUGAGACGCGAAAGCGUGGGGAGCGAACAGG
This 253-nucleotide ribosomal RNA is filed under the name uncultured bacterium. RNAcentral's name for it is "partial 16S ribosomal RNA". It matches the Rfam family "Bacterial small subunit ribosomal RNA", at positions 524 to 776 of the family's 1533-position model. The record is from RNAcentral.